This 320-nucleotide ribosomal RNA is filed under the name uncultured Bacteroidales bacterium. Its description in RNAcentral is "bacterial SSU rRNA". It matches the Rfam family "Bacterial small subunit ribosomal RNA", at positions 28 to 339 of the family's 1533-position model. The record is from RNAcentral. Lineage: Bacteria; Pseudomonadati; Bacteroidota; Bacteroidia; Bacteroidales.
GAUGAACGCUAGCUACAGGCUUAACACAUGCAAGUCGAGGGGCAGCGGGAGAGUAGCUUGCUACUCUUGCCGGCGACCGGCGCACGGGUGAGUAACACGUAUCCAACCUGCCCAUGACCCGGGGAUAGCCCUCUGAAAGGAGGAUUAAUACCCGAUAUGGUUGACCAGGGACAUCCCCGGUCAACCAAAGAUUCAUCGGUCACGGAUGGGGAUGCGUCUGAUUAGCUUGUCGGCGGGGUAACGGCCCACCGAGGCGACGAUCAGUAGGGGUUCUGAGAGGAAGGUCCCCCACAUAGGAACUGAGACACGGUCCUAACUCC